RNAcentral lists this unclassified non-coding RNA (2227 nucleotides) under Leishmania donovani. Its description in RNAcentral is "gene:LdHU3.19.2020(CDS-product:adenylate_cyclase_ regulatory_protein-like_protein)". Lineage: Eukaryota; Euglenozoa; Kinetoplastea; Trypanosomatida; Trypanosomatidae. The record is from RNAcentral.
CACAGUGCACCAGCCACCGUUCCCUAUCCGCUGUCUUUAACCUGUCGCUUCCGGCUCAUCACCUCCGCACCGUCGCCACGAACCUCUGCAGCCCAUGUUGCAUCAGAAUCGUCACUCAGUACCGGAGUCUCUCUUCCACGUCUCCUAUGAGCCCUCCACACCCUCCUCCACCUUCGUAACCGAGGCGACGACGCCCAUAGACGACGCCGUCGCCGUCACACCUGCUCAGCGUGGUGACUCGCCGUUGUCGCCCUGCGACAGCCGAGAUGCUCCACGCAGCCUCGUUCCCGGGGACUUGUCGAUGCAUCGUAGCUUCUUCUGCUACGUCUGCUGCGAACCUCUUUUUCGAGCAAUGAGUGACGGUGUGUGCGAUCACCAUGUGCGUGAGGCGUGCUGCUUAAAGAUGAGCGUCAGCGGUACUGCCACCUGCCCUCUGUGCGGGUGGAAUGGGCCAUGGUCAACGGACGCAGCGCACAGUGAGUGCGUGCGCGACGCGAUCGAGGUGCGUUUGAAGGAGAAUGCCAUUGCCCUCCUUCGCGACGCCUACCCUGCGCUCUCGAGUGACUGCGUUGGCGAUGUGGUGGGAAGCUGCUUUGAUCGCUCGUGUCUCACAGUGGACCUGCACCAAGCACAGCAGUAUCUUGCGGCGGUGCCUCCCGAUGGAGUCGGCGCUGUCUGCACGUCGCUGGGUGCGCCUGAUACGAUCCCUAACAAGGCGGCUGUCUUCUCGCUGCGCGUCGAGGGCCCGUGGCUCACUAGCUGUGACCUUGUGAGGAGGUUCUUGAAGCUGCAGGUGCUUGUCUUGUGUGACUGCGCAGACCUCGUCUCGCUUCGCGGAGUCGAAUGCGCGCCACUGCUCGAACGUCUCACUGUGGAGCGCUGUGGCUUGGCUGACACGUUGGGGAUCGACGCGUGCCCAUGUCUCAAGUUCCUGCAGCUUCGCGAAUGCCCUCGGCUGUCGCACUUGGGGUGGAGCCAGAUACCUAAUAGCCAAUCAAGCCUCCAAGAAUCUAGCGGGCAAGAUGGUGGCUGUGCGGCACUGCGCAGUGUGAGCGUUUUUCGCUGCCCCGCCUUCCGGGGCAUCGGCGUCCUCUCCGCUUCUCCGCAUCUGCGAGAGUUCCGUGCGCAGUGUGCUCGCAUCAGCAGCCUGGCCGCAUUGCGUGAGUGCCGCCGCCUCGAGUUGCUUGAUGUUGGAGGGUGCCAGCAGGUGUGCUGCAUUGAAGCCCUGCGAAGUGCGAAGGCGCUAAGGUAUCUUGACCUCUCCAACACGGCUGUCUCCGACAUCGGCGCGCUCUCACAGUGCACGGCGCUCGAGAGGGUGAAUCUGAACGGGUGCCUCCGGUUGCGCUCUCUCGAUAGUCUUGAGUGCUGUACGGAGCUCAGAGAGCUGCAGGCGUCUCGAACUAGCAUUGAGACGCUGAUCGGUCUGCGCCUGUGCCGUGCCCUCAAGAAAGUGGAUGUCAGCGGCUGCGCGGCGCUGAGGGACGCCGCGGCCCUCACGCAUCUCUCCCAACUCACACAUGUCGAUCUUUCCUUCACGGCGGUGGAUGACGUCAGCUCCCUUGCCUACUACAACGGACUGGAGAGCGUCCGUCUGCGCGGAUGUCGGCACGUGCGAGACUACUCACCACCGCACAACCUCGAGGAUGCGCCGCCGCUGCGCUCUCUCGACCUCACCAACACAAGUGUCUGCAGCAUCUCCGAGUGGGGUCGCUGCCCACCGAGGCUGGAGAUGCUCCGCAUGAACGGCUGCACGGAGCUCUCUGACAUCUCAGUCCUGCAGUCUGCAAGCCGGCUGAGGGUGGUGGAUUUGGACAACACCAGUGUGCGGAGCGUGUCGCCGCUGCGGUUGGCUGCGCCUGAGCUGGAGGAGCUUCACACCAAUGAUGUCACUUACCAGAGCGAGGUGCCUCUCUUCCAAACCACUGGAGUGCAGCGACAGCAUAACGUGGUAAACGCUGGCGCGUCGAGCCGAUCACUGUGAUAUGCGCGACGCGAGCACAUGUGUGGCUCCACACCUGGUGAUGGUGAGCGGACACACGUGCGGGAUUCUACGCUCUGCGCGUCGUAUACUUGUUAUCCUUUUAGCUUCAUUCUCUUCUCUGUUUAAUCUUGUGUGUGUCUUCUCUAUUCUCUAUUCUCUAUUCUUCUGUCUUCAUUCUUGUACUGCUUGAUACGACUCUACCGUCUCUCCCUCCCCCCACUCCGUGACACCCCCUCCACUCAG